AACGCACAUUGCGCCCGCCAGCACUCUGGCGGGCAUGCCUGUUCGAGCGUCAUUUCGACCCUCAGGCCCCCCCGGGGGACCUGGCGUUGGGGGCCGGCCCUGGCCGCCCCCGAAAUGCAGUGGCGACCCCGCCGCGGCCUCCCCUGCGUAGUAGCACACACCUCGCACCGGAGCGCGGAGGCGGUCACGCCGUAAAGCGACGAAAUCUCCUAGAGUUGACCUCGGAUCAGGUAGGAAUACCCGCUGAACUUAA
Molecule: unclassified non-coding RNA, 253 nt
Filed under: uncultured Hypocreales
Lineage: Eukaryota; Fungi; Ascomycota; Sordariomycetes; Hypocreales
Description: sequence contains ITS2
Source: RNAcentral